CCUGGUGACCAGGCUUCAUAGAGGGCAUCACAACCCUCCCUGGUGAACAGGCUUCAUAGAGGGCAUCACAACCCUCCCUGGUGACCAGGCUUCAUAGAGGGCAUCACAACCCUCCCGGUGACCAGGUUUUAUAGAGGGCAUCACAACCCUCAUCACAACCCUCCCUGGUGACCAGGCUUCAUAGAGGGCAUCACAACCCUCCCUGGUGACCAGGCUUCAUAGAGGGCAUCACAACCCUCCCUGGUGACCAGGCUUCAUAGAGGGCAUCACAACCCUCCCUGGUGAACAGGCUUCAUAGAGGGCAUCACAACCCUCCCUGGUGACCAGGCUUCAUAGAGGGCAUCACAACCCUCCCCGGUGACCAGGCUUCAUAGAGGGCAUCACAACCCUCCCUGGUGACCAGGCUUCAUAGAGGGCAUCACAACCCUCCCCGGUGACCAGGCUUCAUAGAGGGCAUCACAACCCUCCCUGGUGACCAGGCUUCAUAGAGGGCAUCACAACCCUCCC
This is a long non-coding RNA of Oncorhynchus tshawytscha (Chinook salmon), 507 nucleotides long. Lineage: Eukaryota; Metazoa; Chordata; Actinopteri; Salmoniformes; Salmonidae. The record is from Ensembl.